This 233-nucleotide ribosomal RNA is filed under the name uncultured bacterium. Its description in RNAcentral is "partial 16S ribosomal RNA". It matches the Rfam family "Bacterial small subunit ribosomal RNA", at positions 118 to 347 of the family's 1533-position model. The record is from RNAcentral.
UGAGCAAUCUGCCCUUCUCUUCGGAAUAAGCGUGGGAAACCGCGUCUAAUGCCGAAUACGACCUCCUUUCGCAUGAUCGGAGGUGGAAAGCUCCGGCGGAGAAGGAUGAGCUCGCGGCCUAUCAGCUAGUUGGUGUGGGUAAUGGCCCACCAAGGCGACGACGGGUAGCCGGCCUGAGAGGGUGACCCGGCCACACUGGGACUGAGACACGGCCCAGACCUCCCGACGGGAGG